RNAcentral lists this ribosomal RNA (424 nucleotides) under uncultured bacterium. RNAcentral describes it as "bacterial SSU rRNA". It matches the Rfam family "Bacterial small subunit ribosomal RNA", at positions 355 to 776 of the family's 1533-position model. The record is from RNAcentral.
UGAGGAAUAUUGGUCAAUGGGCGCAAGCCUGAACCAGCCAUCCCGCGUGCAGGAAGAAUGCGCUAUGCGUUGUAAACUGCUUUUCCAGGGGAAGAAAACCUGAUACGAGUAUUGGCUUGCCGGUACCCUGGGAAUAAGCAUCGGCUAACUCCGUGCCAGCAGCCGCGGUAAUACGGAGGAUGCGAGCGUUAUCCGGAUUUAUUGGGUUUAAAGGGUGCGUAGGCGGAUUAAUAAGUCAGCGGUGAAAACCUGCAGCUUAACUGUAGACUUGCCAUUGAUACUGUUAGUCUUGAGUACGGUCAAGGUAGGCGGAAUGUGUAAUGUAGCGGUGAAAUGCUUAGAUAUUACACAGAACACCGAUUGCGAAGGCAGCUUACUGGGCCAUUACUGACGCUGAUGCACGAAAGCGUGGGGAGCGAACAGG